UGGAGGAUUGAGAAGGUAAGACAGUUGAACUUUAUGCUGUAUCUUACUGGUUAUAUCCUCCAAAAUUACUUCAGUGCAACAGCAGCUCGUGUUCCCCUCCUGACAUGAGGGAAAGCAGCACUGCCAUUGCACAUAAGAC
This 139-nucleotide small nucleolar RNA is filed under the name Acanthisitta chloris (rifleman). RNAcentral describes it as "Small nucleolar RNA SNORA47". It matches the Rfam family "Small nucleolar RNA SNORA47". Lineage: Eukaryota; Metazoa; Chordata; Aves; Passeriformes; Acanthisittidae. The record is from Rfam by way of RNAcentral.